Molecule: unclassified non-coding RNA, 212 nt
Filed under: Melitaea cinxia (Glanville fritillary)
Lineage: Eukaryota; Metazoa; Arthropoda; Insecta; Lepidoptera; Nymphalidae
Description: misc RNA ENSMCXG00005005505.1
Source: RNAcentral
UCAAAUUUUACCCUCUUCCUGUCAACCGAUUAAUCUGAAAUUUUGUAUACACUUUGGAUUUUGGUGACAAUACAAUUAUGUUUAUUCAUUAUCAUUAUAAAUUCAAGAUGGCCGCCGCUACAAAAUGGCGGAUAAUUUAUGUUUUAUCAAUCCCAUCAACAUGGGUAUCAAAUGAAAGGUCUCAACAAGUAGAAUACAAUUUACUAUGCAAA